Molecule: ribosomal RNA, 380 nt
Filed under: uncultured eukaryote
Lineage: Eukaryota
Description: partial 18S ribosomal RNA
Rfam family: Eukaryotic small subunit ribosomal RNA
Source: RNAcentral
CAAUAGCGUAUAUUAAAGUUGUUGCAGUUAAAAAGCUCGUUGUUGGAUUUGUGGCGUACGGUGUGUUCCGGGCACUUGUUGUCUGAGUAACCUGCUGUUGCCAUCCUUGGGUGGAACCUGUGUGGCAUUAGGUUGUCGUGCAGGGGAUGCCCAUCAUUUACUGUGAAAAAAUUAGAGUGUUCAAAGCAGGCUUAUGCCGUUGAAUAUAUUAGCAUGGAAUAAUGGGAUAGGACUUUUUUGCUAUUUUGUUGGUUUGCGCAAAGAGGUAAUGAUUAAUAGGGACAGUUGGGGGUAUUCGUAUUCCAUUGUCAGAGGUGAAAUUCUUGGAUUUUUGGAAGACGAACUACUGCGAAAGCAUUUACCAAGGAUGUUUUCAUUAA